This 384-nucleotide unclassified non-coding RNA is filed under the name soil metagenome. RNAcentral's name for it is "partial contains 5.8S ribosomal RNA, internal transcribed spacer 2, and large subunit ribosomal RNA". The stretch from base 1 to 120 matches the Rfam family "5.8S ribosomal RNA", at positions 35 to 154 of the family's 154-position model. The record is from RNAcentral.
GAUGAAGAACGUAGCGAAAUGCGAUAAGUAAUGUGAAUUGCAGAAUUCAGUGAAUCAUCGAAUCUUUGAACGCACCUUGCGCUCCUUGGUAUUCCGAGGAGCAUGCCUGUUUGAGUGUCAUGAAAUUCUCAACCUUUCUGGCUUUUGCUAGUCAGGCUUGGAUUAUGGGAGCUGCUGGCUUUUAAAGUCGGCUCUUCUAAAAUGCAUUAGCAAGAUCAUUGCUGCUCAUCAUUGGUAUGAUAAUUAUCUAUAUCAUUGAGAGUCUGCAUCCUUUAUGGAAGGAUUUUGCUUCUAACCGUCUUUUCCUGAGACAACAUUUGACAAUUUUGACCUCAAAUCAGGUAGGAUUACCCGCUGAACUUAAGCAUAUCAAUAAGCGGAGGA